Molecule: ribosomal RNA, 253 nt
Filed under: uncultured bacterium
Lineage: Bacteria
Description: partial 16S ribosomal RNA
Rfam family: Bacterial small subunit ribosomal RNA
Source: RNAcentral
UACGGGGGGAGCAAACGUUGUUCGGAAUCACUGGGCGUAAAGGGCGUGUAGGCGGCUGGAUAAGUGGGAUGUUAAAUCCCCCGGCUCAACCGGGGACCUGCAUCUCAUACUGUUCAGCUCGAGCACAUCAGAGGAGACUGGAAUUCCUGGUGUAGCGGUGAAAUGCGCAGAUAUCAGGAAGAACACCCGUGGCGAAAGCGGCUCUCUGGGACGGUACUGACGCUGAGACGCGAAAGCGUGGGGAGCGAACAGG